RNAcentral lists this ribosomal RNA (492 nucleotides) under uncultured bacterium. RNAcentral describes it as "partial 16S ribosomal RNA". It matches the Rfam family "Bacterial small subunit ribosomal RNA", at positions 29 to 507 of the family's 1533-position model. The record is from RNAcentral.
AGUGAACGCUGGCGGUAGGCCUAACACAUGCAAGUCGAACGGCAGCACAGUAAGAGCUUGCUCUUACGGGUGGCGAGUGGCGGACGGGUGAGGAAUACAUCGGAAUCUACUUUUUCGUGGGGGAUAACGUAGGGAAACUUACGCUAAUACCGCAUACGACCUACGGGUGAAAGCAGGGGAUCUUCGGACCUUGCGCGAUUGAAUGAGCCGAUGUCGGAUUAGCUAGUUGGCGGGGUAAAGGCCCACCAAGGCGACGAUCCGUAGCUGGUCUGAGAGGAUGAUCAGCCACACUGGAACUGAGACACGGUCCAGACUCCUACGGGAGGCAGCAGUGGGGAAUAUUGGACAAUGGGCGAAAGCCUGACCCAGCCAUACCGCGUGGGUGAAGAAGGCCUUCGGGUUGUAAAGCCCUUUUGUUGGGAAAGAAAAGCAGCAGGUGAAUACCCCGCUGUUCUGACGGUACCCAAAGAAUAAGCACCGGCUAACUUCGUG